This 5394-nucleotide long non-coding RNA is filed under the name Salvia miltiorrhiza (redroot sage). RNAcentral's name for it is "long non-coding RNA (SMIL_LNC006846)". The record is from RNAcentral. Lineage: Eukaryota; Viridiplantae; Streptophyta; Magnoliopsida; Lamiales; Lamiaceae.
GGCUGUGAACAAGCUGGUGGAAAGCUAUCUUAAAUGGCGACUUCCCAUCAAAAAAUACGAUAUGGUUCCGACGGAAAGCUUCGUCGGAGAAGCCUCCUCUUGCCAGAUACUGUUCCUGCAGCCUAACUUCUUCGACAAAGUCGAAGAUGGGAGCAUUGUGAUGAGGAAAUCGCAGAAUUUCACCUUCUGCAAAGAGGGUGUAAUCCUCGACGGAGAAGAUCAUGUCCCGUUGCAAGCCGACGUCGUCAUCUUUGCAACGGGAUAUAAAGGCGAUGAGAAGCUCAAGAACAUGUUCGCUUCCCCCACCUUUCAAAACUACAUUUUUGGAUCUCCAACCUCCAUUAUCCCUCUCUACAGGUAAUAAAUUACUUCUCUACUUUAAUGUUGCAAGUAAUAUAUAAUUCUUCAAAUAAUUAAAUAUUGUUUUUAAUUGCAGACAGAUGAUCCAUCCAAGAAUCCCACAGCUGGCUGUGAUAGGCUACUCGGAGUCGCUGUCGAAUAUUUUCACAUUCGAAAUGAGGUGCAAAUGGCUGUCGCAUUUUCUGGAUGGGGGAUUCACGCUGCCGAGCAUGGGAGCGAUGGAGAAGGAGGUGGAGGCGUGGGAGAAAUACAUGAAGAGGUAUGCAGGUAACAAGGAGUUUAGAAGGUCUUGCAUUGGUGGUGUUCCUAUUUGGUACAAUGAUCAAAUAUGCAGAGACAUCGGUUCUUCUCCAAGAAGAAAGAAGGGCUUUUUCUCAGAGUUGUUUCAGCCUUAUGGCCCCAUAGAUUAUCACGGGAUUUAAUUUCUUUCACUUUUUCCAUAUUGUUAUGUUUAACUACUGCUUCCAAUGUCAUGUGCGCACGUGGUUUCAUCGACAUCAUAUAUCAAGUGAUUAAAUUCAACUUUGGUCGACAUCAAAAAAAAAAAAUUCAACUUUGGUCAUUAUUACUUUUAAUCUGUGAGUCAUUACUUCAGACUGUACUAAUUAAUUAUUACUAUUAAAAAUAUCAUUCAAUGCACGCCGAAUCUAUAUUAAUGCUUUCUUGGAACCGUGUGUAAAUUCAAGGGUGGAAGAGAAAAAAAUAGUUUGGUAAUUGGUAUCCCUAGUUUUAAUCCGUGAAAUAUUUAUUAUUUUUGCAUAAAAAAGAAUAAGUUCUACGCAUAAUUAAUGAGCAUGUUGCUUAUUUGAUUCUUAUAAUUCUAAUUUAAAAAAAAAAAAAGAUCCGAUUUCCUCUAUUACAACCAAUUUAUUUGAAUUAAGAAAUCAACUCAACGACGGGAUCAUCCAAGGGGGAAAAAAAAAACUUCAAAAUUAACAAGUAAAUAAAAAAUUUAAAGAUCGUGUUAUGAUGAACUCUAACAUAGAACCUCUAGAUUUGAGUAUUAAUUACUCCAUCCGUCCUCAUAAAAUGUAUUCAAUUUGUCAUAUUCGUCCGUUCUCAUAAAAUGUAUCAAAUAUAUUUUUGGUAAGUUUUUCACUCAUAAUAAAGUCGGACCAUUACUCCACACACAACACAUUCAACUAUUUUAUUAAAACUCGUGUUAUUUAUAAAUAAUUAUUUUUUAUAAGAAGGGAGAGAGUACUAUCAAUCUUCUACUAACUUUUUCGUUUAUGGAGUUGUUAAUUGUAUAAGUUGGUAACACUAACGACAACAUGUGUUAUUACCAUUAUCGUCGGUAAAGAACUUGAUAUACAUUCCAUUAAUUAACUAACUUAUCACCGCCGCUAUUUGAAUUCUGUAUUCCUACUAAAAUUUAUUAUUUCUCAUAACAAAUUAAUAAGAGCAACUUUACAAUUAAGCGCAAUUCAAUUGAUAAGACGAUUUCCUCUAAUUAGUAGGUUAGAAAUUCGAAUCACCAGAAGAAAAGAUGGGAAACCAUUAUCGACCCUCUCUAAAAAAAUAAAAAUAAGAGCAACUAAACUCAAAAUAAAUAAAUAAAUAGGACCAGUUAAUUAAUUGUAUACAUAUUUAAAUAUAAUAGGGUUAACAACAUGUAUAAAUAUAUAGGUGUUAAUAGAUAUAGAGUGGAUGCAAAUUUUAAUUUUUAACUAGCAUUAUUUUUAGAAUUUGACCCAAAUAUAUAUUCCAUCAAUAAUUAAUCUCACGUGUAUGCUAGAAAUUUAUUACGUGGCAUUUCAACCAAUAAUUAAAAUGUUAUAUUUUUUAUGUAAUAUAAAACGAUGUUAUUUUCUUCAUCUUUUAUGAUAUGCUGCAAACAAUAUAGAGUUCAAAGAGCAUGAUAGAGGAACAAAACGACGUUUUUAUGUUGCAUGAAACGUUGCAUUUUAAUUAUCUGAAAUGCCAUGUACGAAAUUUUCAACAUCCACAUAGGAUUAAUUAUUGCUGAAAUUUUAAUUCAGGCAAAAUUGUAAAAUAUUUAAAAGUUCAUGCAUUUUUUUUUUUUUUGAUAAGGAAAGUAAAUAUUAUAGAACGAUAAGGCACCAGUAGUACCAAGAAGAUUACAAAAUCAUCGGGGAUUCAUCAUUCGACAUCCACCUAUGAAACCCAACUCCAUCAUUAACAAAACCAAAAAUUCUACCCCAACUCCACACUCUAGCUUUGAUUUCCCCAAACAAGUUUGCACUCUCCCAUCUUUUGUUCUCAAAUCUACUCUCAUUCCGCAUUUUCCAAAUAAGCCAAGUAGUACAACACCAAAGAGCCAUCAAGAGCUUCUUAUUUCUUUUCCGGCCACUCAAACUAGUAAAGAACUGGAAGUGCGAGUGCACGUCAUAUGGCUGCGCCAUGCUAACACCGAGCCAUUGAAAGAUUGCUUCCCAUACCUUUGAGGUCUUUGGACAGUGGAUCAACACGUGGUUCGUGGAUUCCUGCCGAUGAAAACAGGCGUUACAUCCCACUUCAUGUAUUAAUCUAAUACAAUAAUACAAAUUAUAUGCAUUUAAUUACACUUCAUGCAUUUAAUUACAUGCAAUUAAUCUAAUACAAUAAUACAAAUUAUAUAUCAAAUUAAUAUUUAACUCACAAGUACAGUAAUGACUUUUAUGAGCAUGUUUAUGAAAUAACGAUAAAAUAAAUAGUGUUCAAUAUUCAAACUUAGACUUGCGCGUUUACAUAAACAAAUGGGCCCAAACUUAUUCCGAGUCUCUGAAUUCUAUAUCUCAUAAUCUUGGUUUCUCAACUAUAUCACAUUAUUAAUAAAUUUAGGGUAAAUACCAUACUCCCUCCGUCCCAAAAGCUUGGGCUGAUUGGGAUUUUCACAAAGAUUAAGAAAAAUCAUUGGAAAUAAAAAUAUAUAAGUAAAUUUUCUAGUAUGCCCAUAUUUAUUAUUUAAUGGUGUAUUAAAGUGGGAGUAAAUUAAAGAAUUAAAUAGGGAUGUAAUAGUAAAUGAGUAAAAAAAUAUUACUACUUUUCAUGGAAACAAGCCUAUAUAAAUGGGACAUUCGAAAAAGGAAAACAAGCCUAAGCUUAUGGGACGGAGGGAGUAUUAAAUUUCAAACUAUACCCGUUUUAUAAAAAAUAUUCUAAAUUAUAAAAAAAUGUUUUUAGAAAUUUCAAAAUAUUAGAUUUGUAUCAAAAAUAUCCUACAUUUAUUUUUCGAUCACCGGAAUGUGGCUCGCCGAAUGUCACUGUAAUUUAUAUUUUAUUGUUUGGCACAAAACGAAAACGACGUCGUUUUGUGUUACGUUAGUUGAUUCAAAUCGCGUUGAAAGUCAGUUUGGCGAGCGUGGAUUUAAGUUUUUUCAAAUGACAUGACAAAAAACGCCAUUUUGUGUCAUGUCAUUUACAAAAAAUAAAAUACUAGUAUAAAUUAUAUACGCUAGCAUCCGGUGAGCCACGUCACGAUUUCGGUCGAAAAAUGAACGUAAAAUAUUUUUGAUGCACACAUAAUAGUUUGUGAUUUUUUAAAAUAUUUCUUAUAAUUCAUGACAUUUUUUAUACAGUGAGUAUAAUUUGAAGUUUCAUAUGAUAUUUACCGAUAAAUUUAUUAGGUACGCAUAUGUAAGAAAGAAAAAUGCGUUAUAUAUAUCGAUGUGAAAUUAACCGAAUCUUUUAAUAUCUUCUUCAAGCUGUUGAGCCUAUAAUUUUCUACAAAUAGUAAUUUCGACGUCGACAUUCCUUCUCAAUAUAAAUCUAAAGAAGAAGCUCCAACUUGUCCAUAAAGAAUUGAAGAUGGAGAAACGAGUAGCCAUCGUGGGCGCGGGAGUCAGCGGCCUCCUCGCCUGCAAAUACGCGUCUGCGAAAGGCUUCACUCCGAUGGUUUUCGAAGAGCAAGAUGAGGUGGGCGGGCUGUGGAAUCACACCUUGGAAUCCACCACUCUUCAAAUUACUAAACAUUUAUACGAGUUUUCAGACUUCCCAUGGCCUUCUUCAGUCCCCGAAGAAACGCCUCCCCACAACACGCAACUUGUGGAAUAUCUGCAAACUUACGCCCACAAAUUCCAGCUGUUGCAGUACGUAAUUUCAAAUGCAAAGUAAUCGAUGUUGAUUACGUUGGAGAGUCUGAAAAUGAGAUGAGGAGUUGGGAUUUGUGGGGUGGAGAUGGUAAAGCCUUCGGAUCCAAAGGAAAAUGGAUUCUAAGAGUUUCCCACGCUGGAGAUGACUCCAUCAAGGUAUAAAUUAACACAUUCUUUUUCUUUUUUUUUUAAUCUGAUAAACAUAUGAAUGCAGGAGUAUGAAGCCGAAUUCUUGGUUCUCUGCAUCGGGAGAUUCAGCGGUCUGCCGAAUUUCCCGAGUUUGCUCCGGGAUACGGAGCCGAAGCUUUUUCCGGCAAAGUUAUGCAUUCAAUGGAUUUCUCCAACAUGGAUAAUGCGCUGCUGCUCAAUUCAUCAAAGGAAAACGCGUCGCCGUUAUAGGUGCUGGCAAGUCCGCAAUCGACAUUGCAUUCGAGUGCGCCAAUGUAAAUGGUAAUUAACCUUUUUCACUUGAUUGGUUUUUAGACGCACGUGGUGUUGGAUUCUGUCAAAUUUAAUUGAUUGGGUUGAUUUGAUUUGCAGGAAGAGAUAAGCCGUGCACAAUGAUCCAGAGAGGUGCGCAUUGGAUGCUGCCCCACCACGCGCAUUCAUGGGGAUUGACAGAUUUUCUCAUCUUCACUCGCUUUGUCGAGCUCAUGCUUCAUAAGCCCGGCGAGGGCUUCUUGUCCGGCGCCAUAGCCACCUUGCUCACGCCUGUGGUAAUUACUUAUACUUUUUACUAAUUUUUGCAUGCAGAAAUUUAUUUGUGAUUUUUUUUUCAUGUUUUAGCGAUGGGGUCUAAACAGGCUCGUGGAAAGCUUUAUUAAAUGGCAAAUGCCCCUGAAAAAAAUGAUAUGAUUCCCAAGCAAAGCUUCGUUAGAGAAGUAUCAUCUUGCCAGAUAAUCCUACUGCAGCCUCACUUCUUCGACAAAGUCGAAGAUGGGAGCAUUGUGAUGAGGAAAUCGCAGAAUUUCACCUUCUGCAAAGAGGGUCUAAUCCUCGA